UUGCAGCCCGACCUGAGUGGAGCUCUUUUGUAAUUUUUCGGUUGGAAAAGCGUUGGCAAAAUUACAAAAAGCGGGAACGGAGGGCGGAUUAGCU
RNAcentral lists this unclassified non-coding RNA (94 nucleotides) under Chryseobacterium gambrini. Its description in RNAcentral is "Flavo-1 RNA". Lineage: Bacteria; Pseudomonadati; Bacteroidota; Flavobacteriia; Flavobacteriales; Weeksellaceae. The record is from RNAcentral.